AAAGCAGGUCUCUAUUUAAAAAAGAAAAUCCUUUUCUUCUGCAAAUAUCCUUUUAAAACAUUUUUUUCCUUCUUUUCAAGCAAUCUCAUCGUAGAUUUUUUUUUAUUCUGUUGGAUUUUUGGCAUGCAGUACAGAUCAAAAAGAAUACACACGGUGCCAGCUUGCCACUCCGUGCAGUAGAGGUUCUGUCAUGUGAUAUUACUCCACGCAGAGGGAAGUCGGAGCAGCCCUGCACGCUGCUUUACACCACUGGAAAACAUUGAGCUUUGCCUGUGGGAAGCUCAGAAUCAGAAGCUGCGCGGGUACAGGGGAGUCCCAUCACCUCAGCUUCACCCAUGUCCCUGCUUCUGCAGCAGCAGAAAUAUUCCUGUUGGGCAAUGCCGGAGUCCCAGGAGCGGCCUCAAAAGCAGGAGCACCAGGCUGUCGCCCGCUGAGUGCUCCAUUUCUCUGCUGGCGGCCCUUCCUUCCCCUCGCCCCGUACUGCACCCCCUCCACGAGACCGUGGUGUUUAGGUGGGCAGCUACAGCACUGGGGAGCAAAGCGCGGCCCAGAAGGGGAGAAGUAAAUAAAUGGAGAUAUCAAGAUGCGUUAGUUCUUGUAGGUCCUAAAAAUAAAGCACUUCUUAUGAACAACAUCUGAUUUUCCAUGUGUCAGGCCUAAAUUUAGUCAGAGGCGAUUUGUGGCAAAGCUGGUCCAAAGUUUUCUAUGUUGUGUGUUUUUUUUUUGGUUUUUUUUUGUGUUUUUUUUUUUAAUGACAUUAAACUUAUAUUGGUAGUGAUAUAAAUAUAUAUAUAUAUAUUACUUUUUCCUGCUGAAAUAUGCAUAUUUUCCUUUUGUUGUGGAGGCUAGGGGCACCAAAUUUUGCCCCAAUCCUCCUUUUUCUUCUCCAUUAUAUUUUUAUUUUAUAAGCCUACUCUCAGUGCUUAGUGGAAACUUCUUUCACUUAUUUCUUGCAUCCUUUGUCUUCUGCAGGCUGAGGCUGUGCUCAGGUUGUGCCUGCUGUGGCAGGACAUGCUUUUCACAGCUUUUAGUGUCUCAGAAGUAAUACAUCCUAGGAGAUACAGACCAUAGAACUAAAUUAGGCACCCAAAUUACAACUCUCAUGAAAUACUGAAAAGGGAGGGGGAAGGGAGAGGAACUCUAACAGUGACAGUUUUGUUUUGCCUAAAUUUUCCAUGGAGAAGUAUUUCAUAAGUUAUGUCAAAUGGGAAAGCUGGUUAUGUAUCUCUGUCUGCAUGGGUAGAAGAUCUUCUGUGACAGACAGAUUGCGAGAGUGGGGGUGUGCACUAGUGCCACGAUGCUGGUAGCAAGCAAUGGGGUUUGUUCUGUGCUUUGCCAUCUCUUCCCAGCAUAUGUUCAUGUUAGUCAUGUUAGGAGUUUAGUCAAAGAUUCGCCCUUUAGAGAAAAUAGUGGUAACGGAGAACUUUUUAUCUUUGUCUGGAAGAGAUUAAUCGCUGACGAUCCUGAAUAACAGGGAUGCUCAGAAACAUGCAUUAUGAAAUGCAGGGCUGCUGAUGACUGCCCGUUUGUUGGUCAUCAAAGAAGUAUGAAGCAAUUUUCUUUCAAGGUGGUUUCUUUGGAUAGCAGAAAUAAAAGUCUUUCCCUUCUGAUUUCA
Molecule: long non-coding RNA, 1615 nt
Filed under: Anas platyrhynchos platyrhynchos (common mallard)
Lineage: Eukaryota; Metazoa; Chordata; Aves; Anseriformes; Anatidae
Description: lncRNA (ENSAPLG00000028593.1)
Source: RNAcentral